UACGAAGGGUGCAAACGUUGCUCGGAAUCAUUGGGCGUAAAGCGCACGUAGGCGGCUUCGCAAGUCGGAUGUGAAAUCCCACGGCUCAACCAUGGACGUGCAUUCGAAACUGCGGAGCUUGAGUAUGGAAGAGGGUCGCGGAAUUCCCGGUGUAGAGGUGAAAUUCGUAGAUAUCGGGAGGAACACCAGUGGCGAAGGCGGCGACCUGGGCCAAUACUGACGCUGAGGUGCGAAAGCGUGGGGAGCAAACAGG
Molecule: ribosomal RNA, 253 nt
Filed under: uncultured bacterium
Lineage: Bacteria
Description: partial 16S ribosomal RNA
Rfam family: Bacterial small subunit ribosomal RNA
Source: RNAcentral